This 1253-nucleotide long non-coding RNA is filed under the name Eutrema salsugineum. Its description in RNAcentral is "long non-coding RNA (ESAL_LNC001386)". Lineage: Eukaryota; Viridiplantae; Streptophyta; Magnoliopsida; Brassicales; Brassicaceae. The record is from RNAcentral.
UGUCAACGGCUUCUUGGUUGCUCAUCUGCUCCCAUAGUCCAUCAGAAGCAAAUAUCAGAAACUGAUCUUGUGGUUGGAUCUCAUGCUCUGUUAUUGACGGUUCCCCACUCAAAAUCGGUCUCUUGAUCGGCUCGCGGAGUCUGUACUUCGUGUAUAAUGGUUCCUUGUUGAACUCUGCCUUCUUAAGAUAGAUGUCGCCGAUGGAUCUAGAUAUCUGCAAAGGAUCAACCAUAUCUAGCCUUUUCAAUCUCAAUCAUCAGGGUUUAUCUUGACAUGGCAAAGGAACAACCAUAUCUAGGUAUUUGCGCAUAAUGUCUAUAGGCAGCCAUGGAGACAAAACACUGGUUCAACUGUUGUGUCGGUUAUAGCAUCUAUCUUAAUGUAUGACAUACAUAAACUGGCUUUAAGACACCACCAACUUCAACAACAGCUCUCGGGUUGGAGGGUUUGGUGUGACAAAGUCAAGGUUACUAAAAAUCAAGCCUUUUGACUAUACAGCCACAAGUUUAAUGCAGGGACCUCAUCUCCAUACAGAAAUCACAACUAUGUACUUGUAUAAAAACUGAUCCUUUCACCCUAAAAUCUAACUAAGUAUAAUUCUGAUUGAGAAACGUACCUGAAUAAGACCCUUAACACGCCACACAUUGUGCUUUAACACGACGAUAUGAGAAUCAUCCGGGUGCAAGGAGCGCAUUUCCUGUCUAACAGACUCUAUGCUCACGUUAUGUUCCGCUGAGAGCUGAAGCGCAAUAACCUCGCCUGUAGCAUUCAUAGCCCUUCCAAGAACUGCACGUGAAUCCCCAACGUUAGCGAUGUAGAGCCUGCCUCCGCAUAUAACACCCACCAGGCAGCAAGACCCAACCGCUGCAAUCUGUGGCUUAACCGGCCACUGCUUUGUCACAACCCCUAGGAACCCUUCUUCCGUCGCUUCAUAUGCCUUUCUAAUUACAUCCACCGACAUAGAAGCAUGCUCUGCUGCGAAUCCUGUAAAAUUCAAUAAGAUUUUUAGUUUCCAUGCGGAUGGUUGGUCCAUAAGUAUGUAUGCAUAUUAUUAUAUUCAUUCAUUUGCUCACUCUUUAGAUGCUGAAAGAGGUGAUCAUUGACAAAGCGGGAGGUCUCAGGACCGCCAUGUCCGUCAUAGAUUCCGAUAAAGGUUCCAAAAGGACCAGAGUCAAGUGUACUCAAAGGGCCAGACUCAACCUGGCUCUGAUCCUCAAGCAGAUUGUUGGCCUGAACAACUGCCAUUGAGAAUU